GACGAACGCUGGCGGCGUGCCUAAUACAUGCAAGUCGAACGAACCGCGACUAGGUGCUUGCACUUGGUCAAGGUGAGUGGCGAACGGGUGAGUAACACGUGGGUAACCUACCUCAUAGUGGGGGAUAACAGUCGGAAACGACUGCUAAUACCGCAUAGGACAUAGGAUCACAUGAUCCAGUGAGGAAAGGUGGCGCAAGCUAUCGCUAAGAGAUGGACCCGCGGUGCAUUAGCUAGUUGGUAGGGUAAAGGCCUACCAAGGCGAUGAUGCAUAGCCGACCUGAGAGGGUGAUCGGCCACAUUGGGACUGAGACACGGCCCAAACUCCUACGGGAGGCAGCAGUAGGGAAUCUUCCGCAAUGGACGCAAGUCUGACGGAGCAACGCCGCGUGAGUGAAGAAGGUCUUCGGAUCGUAAAGCUCUGUUGUUAGAGAAGAACAGCGCAUAGAGUAACUGUUAUGCGUGUGACAGUAUCUAACCAGAAAGCCACGGCUAACUACGUG
Molecule: ribosomal RNA, 502 nt
Filed under: uncultured bacterium
Lineage: Bacteria
Description: partial 16S ribosomal RNA
Rfam family: Bacterial small subunit ribosomal RNA
Source: RNAcentral